Molecule: ribosomal RNA, 1275 nt
Filed under: Nymphalis xanthomelas (yellow-legged tortoiseshell)
Lineage: Eukaryota; Metazoa; Arthropoda; Insecta; Lepidoptera; Nymphalidae
Description: partial 16S ribosomal RNA
Source: RNAcentral
GGGGGUAAAUUAAUAAACAAUAAAUAAUAAAAGAAAUUUUAAUAUUAAAAAAAAAUAAUGGGGGUUAGAGUAUUUUUAAUAGAAAAAAUUGUUAAUUUUAUAGUUGAUUAUUACUGUAAAGGAAAUUAUAAAUAAAUGAAAAUUAAUUGGGGGAAAAGUAAAUUUAAUUUAUUGUAUCUUGUGUAUCAGAGUUUAUUAAAUAUUAAUAAUUUAUUUAAAUAAAUCUCGAAUUUAAAAGAGUUAAUUAAUUAAAAAAGUUAAUGUUGAAUAAUUAUUUUAAAUAAUUAAUUAGAAAUGAAAUGUUAAUCGUUUCUAAAUAUAUCUAGUUUUUUUAGAAAAAAAUUUAAUUUUAAAUUUAAAUAAUUUUAUAAUUUUUUAGUUAAUUAUAAAAAAUUUAAAAUUUAAUAUUUUAGGGGAUAAGCUUUAAAUUAAAAUAUUAUAAUUAAUUAAAAUAAAAAUUAAAAUUUUUAAAAUUUAUAUUGUUUAGAUAUUAUAGUUUAUUAUAAAUAAUUUUAUUUUAAAUAAAAUUUAAAUUAAAUUUAAUUUUUUAUAAAAAAAUAAUUUUUAAUUAUAAAAAAUUAGUAAUAAUGAUAAAAUUAGUAUAUUAAUAAUUAAAUAAAAAAAAAUUAAUUAAAAUUAAAUUAAAGGAAUUCGGCAAAAUUUUAUAUUCACUUGUUUAUCAAAAACAUGUCUUUUUGAUAAUAAUUUAAAGUCUAAUCUGCCCACUGAUAUAAUUAUUAAAGGGCUGCAGUAUAUUGACUGUACAAAGGUAGCAUAAUCAUUAGUCUUUUAAUUGAAGACUUGUAUGAAAGAUUUGAUGAAAUAUAAACUGUCUCUAAUUUAUUUUUGUAGAAUUUAAUUUUUUAGUAAAAAAGCUAAAAUAAAAUUAAAAGACGAGAAGACCCUAUAGAGUUUUAUAAUUAGAUUAAUUAAUGUAAAUUUAUACAUAUAUAAUUAUAAAAAAAAUUAAUUUAAUUAUUUUAUUGGGGUGAUAAAAAAAUUAAAAAAACUUUUUUUUUAAUAAAACAUUAAUAAGUGAAAAAAUGAUCCAUUAAUAGUGAUUAUAAGAAAAAAUUACCUUAGGGAUAACAGCGUAAUAUUUUUUUUUAGUACAAAUAAGAAAAAAAGUUUGCGACCUCGAUGUUGGAUUAAGAUAAAAUUUAAAUGCAAAAGUUUAAAAUUUUGAUCUGUUCGAUCAUUAAAAUCUUACAUGAUCUGAGUUCAAACCGGUGUAAGCCAGGUUGGUUUCUAUCUUUAGUAAAAUUAAAUAUUUUA